UCACCUGUGUUUCUGUGUGUCAGGUGGAGGGAAGGUGGAGAUUAAAUCAGAGAAGGUGGAUUUUAAAACCGUUCAAUCUAAAGUUGGUUCUCUGGAGAACGUCACCCAUGUGCCGGGAGGAGGGAAAAAGAAGAUUGAGAGUCAGAAACUGAGCUUCAGAGAGAGCGCCAAAGCUCGGACGGACCACGGGGCUGACAUCAUCGUCCAGCCUGACUCCGCCCCCUCCAGCGACACCUUCUCCCCAGGAAGCCUAAACGCAGCUGAAGCCACACCCCUCGACACGUUGGCCGACCAGGUGUCCGCCUCCCUCGCCAAACAAGGCCUGUGAUUGGACAGCCCCGAGCCUGCAGAGCCCCCCCUCCCAUUACCAAGGAAACUACCUGAUGGAAGAAAGAAAAAAGAUAAUUUUGUCUUUUUCCUCAUGACCUUCAUCUGACAUCACACGCACGAUUGGAGAGAUUUUAUUAAGUUACAGUCAGCCAAUCACAGCGCAGCGCGUCUACAGCCAAUCACAGCGCAGCGCGUCCACAGCCAAUAACAGUGCAGCGUGUCUACAGCCAAUCACAGCGCAGCGUGUCUACAGCCAAUCACAGCGCAGUCAGGUGGGAGGAACCAGGUCUGUGUAGUUGAAACUAAACGUUACAAACCGUUCAUUUAAACUGGAACAGAGAUGUGUUGAACACCCUUUCGUGUCUUUUUUUCA
Molecule: long non-coding RNA, 703 nt
Organism: Perca fluviatilis (European perch)
Lineage: Eukaryota; Metazoa; Chordata; Actinopteri; Perciformes; Percidae
Exons: 3
Source: RefSeq, a predicted model, not a curated record